UAUAAUUUGACUCAAACGAAGAAGAUGACAGCCACAGAUAAACAACAACAAACGAUCGAAAAACACGUAGAAUGGCGGAACGACUGGAUUGCCCGCAUCGGACAAAAGGCCCAAAUAUUCAUUAGCAUUCAAACUCAAAUUCAUUAUUGGAUGAGCCAAGCAGAACAGCCCCAUAACAGACACCCGCAACACCCUAUAAAAUCAUCAGAGAAGGAGAUUUUUUUUUUGUUUGUGUUUGUCCUUUAAAUAUAUAUUAAUUUUGUUGCGUGUA
This is a long non-coding RNA of Episyrphus balteatus (marmalade hoverfly), 271 nucleotides long. RefSeq lists it as uncharacterized. The transcript is spliced from 3 exons. NCBI's taxonomy places the organism in Eukaryota, Metazoa, Arthropoda, Insecta, Diptera, Syrphidae. The record is from RefSeq and is a predicted model, not a curated record.